This 253-nucleotide ribosomal RNA is filed under the name uncultured Gemmata sp. RNAcentral describes it as "partial 16S ribosomal RNA". It matches the Rfam family "Bacterial small subunit ribosomal RNA", at positions 524 to 776 of the family's 1533-position model. Lineage: Bacteria; Pseudomonadati; Planctomycetota; Planctomycetia; Gemmatales; Gemmataceae. The record is from RNAcentral.
GACGAACCGUGCGAACGUUGUUCGGAAUCACUGGGCUUAAAGGGCGCGUAGGCGGGUCUUCAAGUCAGGGGUGAAAUCCUUCGGCUCAACCGGAGAAGCGCUUUUGAUACUGGAGACCUCGAGGGAGGUAGGGGCAUGUGGAACUCAGGGUGGAGCGGUGAAAUGCGUAGAUAUCCUGAGGAACGCCGGUGGCGAAAGCGACGUGCUGGACCUCUUCUGACGCUGAGGCGCGAAAGCCAGGGGAGCAAACGGG